CAUCAUCUCGCCUGAAACCGGAAGCUUUUGUGAAUCAUGAACUCUCCUCAUUUCUGCUUAUGGUAUAUAACAUUAAUCAGCAUUCUCUUCUUGUCGCUACAGAUCUGAGAUAAACAAAGAGGUGUAACUAGUGGUGAGAUUUGAGCUUCGUGUUGCUGCUACUCAAGUGGUUGUUUGUUAGGGUUUGUGAAGGAGUGAGAGAGAGUGUGUGUGUGUGUGUGUGUGUGUUAUGAGUGUGUUAAUGGAGAAUGCAGAGAGAUUUGUUGGUUCUCUGCAUAAAGGUGAACUGUGAAUGCAGAAUGGCAACUGAUGCUAUGAAGAUGACAGCUGAUGACUAUUUGAUAUAUAAAUAA
Molecule: long non-coding RNA, 353 nt
Filed under: Helianthus annuus (common sunflower)
Lineage: Eukaryota; Viridiplantae; Streptophyta; Magnoliopsida; Asterales; Asteraceae
Description: sRNA HanXRQr2_Chr13g0614011
Source: RNAcentral